AUUUAAGGUCUGACCUGCCCACUGAUUUUUUUGAAGGGCCGCAGUAAUUUGACUGUGCAAAGGUAGCAUAAUCAUUAGUUUUUUAAUUAAAAGCUUGUAUGAAGGGUUGGACGAGGUAGAAUCUGUCUCUAUUUAAAUUAUUAUAGAAUUUAAUUUUUAAGUUAAAAAGCUUAAAUUUAAUUAAAAGACGAGAAGACCCUAUAGAUCUUUAUAUGAAUAAUAAUAUUUUUAAUAAAGAAUAUUUAAUUAAUUAUUAUUAUUUAUAUUUUAUUGGGGUAAUAGAAAGAUUAAUUAAAUUCUUUUUUAUUUAUACAUUAAUUUAUGAUUAUAUGAUCCAAUAUUUUUGAUUAAAAGAUUAAGUUACCUUAGGGAUAACAGCGUAAUUUUUUUUGAGAGUUCAUAUCGAUAAAAAAGUUUGCGACCUCGAUGUUGGAUUAAAAAUUAUCUUAGGUGAAGAAGUUUAGGAUUUUGGUCUGUUCGACCAUUAAAUUUUU
This 494-nucleotide ribosomal RNA is filed under the name Neoscutopterus hornii. Its description in RNAcentral is "partial 16S ribosomal RNA". It matches the Rfam family "Bacterial large subunit ribosomal RNA", at positions 1843 to 2597 of the family's 2925-position model. Lineage: Eukaryota; Metazoa; Arthropoda; Insecta; Coleoptera; Dytiscidae. The record is from RNAcentral.